UACGUAGGGUGCAAGCGUUAAUCGGAAUUACUGGGCGUAAAGCGUGCGCAGGCGGUUAUGUUAGACAGAUGUGAAAUGCCCGGGCUUAACCUGGGAACUGCAUUUGUGACUGCAUGGCUAGAGUUUGGCAGAGGGGGGUAGAAUUCCACGUGUAGCAGUGAAAUGCGUAGAUAUGUGGAGGAACACCGAUGGCGAAGGCAGCCCCCUGGGUCAAGACUGACGCUCAUGCACGAAAGCGUGGGGAGCAAACAGG
This 253-nucleotide ribosomal RNA is filed under the name uncultured bacterium. RNAcentral describes it as "partial 16S ribosomal RNA". It matches the Rfam family "Bacterial small subunit ribosomal RNA", at positions 524 to 776 of the family's 1533-position model. The record is from RNAcentral.